AGUGAACGCUGGCGGUAGGCCUAACACAUGCAAGUCGAACGGCAGCACAGUAAGUUCUUGCUCUUACGGGUGGCGAGUGGCGGACGGGUGAGGAAUACAUCGGAAUCUACUUUUUCGUGGGGGAUAACGUAGGGAAACUUACUCUAAUACCGCAUACGACCUACGGUUGAUAGCAGGGGAUCUUCGGACCUUGCUCGAUUGAAUGAGCCGAUGUCGGAUUAGCUAGUUGGCGGGGUAAAGGCCCACCAAGGCGACGAUCCGUAGCUGGUCUGAGAGGAUGAUCAGCCACACUGGAGCGGAGACACGGUCCAGACUCCUACGGGAGGCAGCAGUGGGGAAUAGUGGACAAUGGGGGCAAGCCUGAUCCAGCCAUAGCGCGUGGGUGAAGAAGGCCUUCGGGUUGUAAAGCCCUUUUGUUGGGAAAGAAAAGCAGCAGGUUAAUACCCCGCUGUUCUGACGGUACCCAAAGAAUAAGCACCGGCUAACUUCGUG
This 492-nucleotide ribosomal RNA is filed under the name uncultured bacterium. Its description in RNAcentral is "partial 16S ribosomal RNA". It matches the Rfam family "Bacterial small subunit ribosomal RNA", at positions 29 to 507 of the family's 1533-position model. The record is from RNAcentral.